GUUAGGGUGGCAGAGCCUGGAAAUUGCAUAAAACUUAAAAUCUUAAAAUCAGAGGUUCAACUCCUCUUCCUAAUA
Molecule: transfer RNA, 75 nt
Filed under: Spalax zemni (Podolsk blind mole rat)
Lineage: Eukaryota; Metazoa; Chordata; Mammalia; Rodentia; Spalacidae
Description: tRNA-Leu
Rfam family: tRNA
About the family: Transfer RNA (tRNA) molecules are approximately 80 nucleotides in length.
Source: RNAcentral